This 499-nucleotide ribosomal RNA is filed under the name uncultured bacterium. RNAcentral's name for it is "partial 16S ribosomal RNA". It matches the Rfam family "Bacterial small subunit ribosomal RNA", at positions 28 to 507 of the family's 1533-position model. The record is from RNAcentral.
GACGAACGCUGGCGGCGUGCCUAAUACAUGCAAGUCGAGCGGACUGAAUGGGAGCUUGCUCUUGUUCGGUCAGCGGCGGACGGGUGAGUAACACGUGGGCAACCUGCCCGCAAGACCGGGAUAACUCCGGGAAACCGGAGCUAAUACCGGAUAACACCGAAGACCGCAUGGUCUUUGGUUGAAAGGCGGCGCAAGCUGCCACUUGCGGAUGGGCCCGCGGCGCAUUAGCUAGUUGGUGAGGUAACGGCUCACCAAGGCGACGAUGCGUAGCCGGCCUGAGAGGGUGACCGGCCACACUGGGACUGAGACACGGCCCAGACUCCUACGGGAGGCAGCAGUAGGGAAUCUUCCGCAAUGGGCGAAAGCCUGACGGAGCGACGCCGCGUGAGCGAAGAAGGCCCUCGGGUCGUAAAGCUCUGUUGUGAGGGACGAAGGAGCGCCGUUUGAAGAAGGCGGCGCGGUGACGGUACCUCACGAGGAAGCCCCGGCUAACUACGUG